GUCCCACCUGACCCCAUGCCGAACUCAGAAGUGAAACGCCGUAGCGCCGAUGGUAGUGUGGGGUCUCCCCAUGCGAGAGUAGGGAACUGCCAGGCA
Molecule: ribosomal RNA, 96 nt
Filed under: Escherichia coli
Lineage: Bacteria; Pseudomonadati; Pseudomonadota; Gammaproteobacteria; Enterobacterales; Enterobacteriaceae
Also listed under: 4 other names
Source: RNAcentral